Molecule: ribosomal RNA, 301 nt
Filed under: uncultured bacterium
Lineage: Bacteria
Description: partial 16S ribosomal RNA
Rfam family: Bacterial small subunit ribosomal RNA
Source: RNAcentral
CAGUCGCCGCGGUAAUACGUAGGUGGCAAGCGUUGUCCGGAAUUAUUGGGCGUAAAGCGCGCGCAGGCGGAUAGGUCAGUCUGUCUUAAAAGUUCGGGGCUUAACCCCGUGAUGAGAUGGAAACUGCCAAUCUAGAGUAUCGGAGAGGAAAGUGGAAUUCCUAGUGUAGCGGUGAAAUGCGUAGAUAUUAGGAAGAACACCAGUGGCGAAGGCGACUUUCUGGACGAAAACUGACGCUGAGGCGCGAAAGCCAGGGGAGCGAACGGGAUUAGAUACCCCCGUAGUCCCUGUCUCUUAUACA